This 1002-nucleotide long non-coding RNA is filed under the name Scleropages formosus (Asian bonytongue). Its description in RNAcentral is "lncRNA (ENSSFOG00015032696.1)". Lineage: Eukaryota; Metazoa; Chordata; Actinopteri; Osteoglossiformes; Osteoglossidae. The record is from RNAcentral.
AUGUGUUUCGUGGACUCGAAGAAGGCCUACGACCGUGUUCCCCGGGAAAUUCUGUGGGAGGUGCUUCGGGAGUAUGGGGUACCGGGGCCACUACUGCGGGCCAUUCGGUCCUUGUACAUACGGAGCGAAAGCUGUGUCCGCAUACUCGGCAUUAAAUCAGGCCUGUUCAGUGUGGGUGUUGGACUCUGCCAAGGUUGUGCCUUGUCUCCACUCCUGUUUGUGGAUUUCAUGGACAGGAUAUCAAGGCGCAGUCGAGGUCAGGAGGGCAUUCCGCGUGGGAGUCGGAAGGUGACGUCUCUGCUUUUUGCGGAUGAUGAUGUCCUUUUGGCACCGUCACAUGGCUGCCUCCAGCACGCACCGGAACGGUUUGCGGCCGAGUGUGAAGCGGUGGGAAUGAGGAUCAGCACCUCAAAGUCUGAGUCCACGGUUCUCUCACGGAAAAGGAUGGCAUGCCCCCUCCAGGUAAGGGGAGCGUUUUUGCCCCAGGUGGAGGAGUUCAAGUAUCUUGGGGUCUUGUUCACGAGUGAGGGAAGAAGGGAGCGUGAGAUCGGCCGCAGGCUGGGAGCAGCGGCAGCAGUAAUGCGGUCGCUGUACCGGACUGUACUGGGGAAGGGGGAGCUGAGCCAUAAGGCGAAGCUCUCCAUUUACCGGUCGAUCUACGUCCCUACCCUCAUCUAUGGUCAUCAACUCUGGGUGAUGACCGAAAGAAUAAGAUCGCGGAUACAAGCGGCCGAAAUGAGUUUUCGCCGUAGGGGGCUGGGACUCACUCUCCGUGACAGGGUGAGGAGUUCGGACAUCCCGGAGGAGCUCAGAGUAGAGCCGCUACUCCUUCACAUUGAGAGGAGCCAGUUGAGGUGGUUUGGGCUAAGAAUAAGGACCCGCUGGAGGGAUUAUAUCUCACAGUUGGCCUGGGAACGGCUGGGGAUCCCCCAGGUUGAGCUGGAGGAAGUUGCGGGGGACAGGGGCGGCUGGGCCUCUCUGCUCUCCCUGCUCCCACCGUGA